Long non-coding RNA from Hyla sarda, 936 nucleotides. RefSeq lists it as uncharacterized. The record is from RefSeq and is a predicted model, not a curated record. NCBI's taxonomy places the organism in Eukaryota, Metazoa, Chordata, Amphibia, Anura, Hylidae. The transcript is spliced from 6 exons.
GGAAACAUGGUAUAAUGUUCCCUGCGUGUGUGGGGACCGGAUGGGGGUCGUAGUGUCCGGGGGUGAUGACCGGUUGAGGGUCGUAGUGCCUCUGUGUCACAUCCUGUGGUAAUAGUGGUACGGCCGGGAGGAAGGAAGCGGCGGCGGCUGCUCAGGGCUCAGUGUACACGUGUCGGGCGGCGGUGAGGUGCGGUAAUGUGCGGGCUCCGGGGUCAUUGUGUCCCCUGUCUGUAUUAUUGUUAUAGAGGAGGAUGAUGUAUCCACCAUGAUACUGUGGGAUGGAUAAACCCAUAAAUGGCGCACAUCGAGGCCACAUGACCGCGCUCCUUAUAGAAGGAACCGGAGUCUGUUGUGACGGAGCUGCAUAUAAGAUGUAUCAACCAUGAUACUGUGGGAUGGAUAAACCCAUAAAUGGCGCACAUCGAGGCCACAUGACUGCACUCCUUAUAGAAGAUGUAUCAACCAUGAUACUGUGGGAUGGAUAAACCCAUAAAUGGCGCACAUCGAGGCCACAUGACUGCACUCCUUAUAGAAGGAGCGGAUGAGGCUGCGGAUGAUGAGAUCUCCUCCGGGCGGCUGCGUCCUGAUCCUCUUAAUAAAGAACUUGUCUGUAAUGUAAAAGAAAAGGCGAAUAAAUGUGAACAGUCUGCGGCCCCAUGUCUUGUGUGUCGGAUUCAUUGCGCCUCUCAAUGAUCACCUAAAAUAAUAGUUAUGUGCGCAAUUAAAUUCUGUGUAGCCAAAUGUAUCCUAAUCAGGGGGCCUGUUGCAAAACUACAACUCCCAGCAUGCCCAGACAGCCAGUGGUGGUACAUGUUGAGACUCAUUGGACUAUCUGCAGCAAGAUUGCAGAGGUACUGAUGACUCAAGAUGGCGGCUGGCACUCCACCUGCUCCUGCCAGAGGGCGAACCAUAGAAGUAGACAAUAUUACUGAUCAG